RNAcentral lists this long non-coding RNA (982 nucleotides) under Parus major (Great Tit). RNAcentral's name for it is "lncRNA (ENSPMJG00000002628.1)". The record is from RNAcentral. Lineage: Eukaryota; Metazoa; Chordata; Aves; Passeriformes; Paridae.
AUGAGGCUAGAAAAAACAAGAGUUUACCUUUGCUCAGGUCUCUGGUGCCUGGACUCAGUGAACUUUUCAUUUAGCAUAUCUGCAAGCACAGGGUUUGCUUACUUGUUGUCUUCUGCUGUUCCUGGAAGAGCCUUAGGCAUCACUGCUCCCAGGGGAAUAUCUGGGCCCAGGAUGAAAACUGUGUAUUAGAACAAUUACGCCUCAGGGUGAAUGUGUAAGUAUAAUGAUACUGAAACUUGGCUUCUUUUCAAAAUAUACAAGUCUCUGACAGUUUGGUAUUGAAAAGCAAGUGAUUCACAUACAUAAAAAAUAGAAGCAGACCAAAAAUGUCAAGGUUUGACAGAGGGCAAAUCCAAAAUACUUCCAAUAAGAGGAAAAAGAGUUCAUUUUAAAAGCGUAAUUGCUGAGUGUCUUCUCAGGAAUAUAUUUAUUUCAUGAAAAUAUCAUUUGUAUAUUAGACAUAAUUAUAAAUUAGAUGCAAUAAUUUUCAAAAAGUGUAAGUAUAUACAGAAGCCUCCCACUCUGCACACUUACCACGCACAGCAGCAGCUUAUAGAAUGGAGAGUAGGAGUUAAUGGUCAGUUUUCUUACUGGAAGAAAAUCACCAUGGAGUCCCUGGGGGAUGUAUUCAUCAGCGAUCUGAAAAAGAGAAUGAGCAGUGAAGUGACACAGUUUGCUAAGUUACUGAGGAUAAUGAAGGCAAGGGUAGCGACAAAAAGAUGCAGAAGGUGCUCACAAGGACUAGGUGGUACAAUAGCAGAUUGAGAUCUCUGUUAAUAUAUGUAGCAGGGUGAAUGAAGGAAGACAAAUGCAAUUAAACAUACAUAACGGUAAGAAAUUAAUUAACUCUUACACUGAGAAUAUUAUCCUUGAAUAUUUUUAUGAAAUUCAGCUUAAUUUUCCUCUGUGGUCACAAACUCCAAAUAUUUUUAAGGAAAAAAAAAAAAAAAAAGAGAGAAUAAAGCAGAGAGCAUUAUGAGCA